UGGGGGAUAUUGCACAAUGGGCGAAAGCCUGAUGCAGCGACGCCGCGUGGGGGAUGAAGGCUUUCGGGUUGUAAACCUCUUUCGCUAUCGAACAAGGCCCGCUUAGGGUGGGUUGAGGGUAGGUGGAGAAGAAGCGCCGGCUAACUACGUGCCAGCAGCCGCGGUAAUACGUAGGGCGCGAGCGUUGUCCGGAAUUAUUGGGCGUAAAGGGCUUGUAGGCGGCUUGUUGCGCCUGCUGUGAAAACGCGGGGCUUAACUUCGCACGUGCAGUGGGUACGGGCAGGCUUGAGUGUGGUAGGGGUGACUGGAAUUCCAGGUGUAGCGGUGGAAUGCGCAGAUAUCUGGAGGAACACCGAUGGCGAAGGCAGGUCACUGGGCCAUUACUGACGCUGAGGAGCGAAAGCAUGGGUAGCGAACAGG
RNAcentral lists this ribosomal RNA (420 nucleotides) under bacterium. Its description in RNAcentral is "partial 16S ribosomal RNA". It matches the Rfam family "Bacterial small subunit ribosomal RNA", at positions 355 to 776 of the family's 1533-position model. The record is from RNAcentral.